Molecule: ribosomal RNA, 826 nt
Filed under: Neurospora discreta
Lineage: Eukaryota; Fungi; Ascomycota; Sordariomycetes; Sordariales; Sordariaceae
Description: eukaryotic LSU rRNA
Rfam family: Eukaryotic large subunit ribosomal RNA
Source: RNAcentral
AUUGCCCUAGUAACGGCGAGUGAAGCGGCAACAGCUCAAAUUUGAAAUCUGGCUUCGGCCCGAGUUGUAAUUUGUAGAGGAAGCUUUUGGUGAGGCACCUUCUGAGUCCCCUGGAACGGGGCGCCAUAGAGGGUGAGAGCCCCGUAUAGUCGGAUGCCGAUCCAAUGUAAAGCUCCUUCGACGAGUCGAGUAGUUUGGGAAUGCUGCUCAAAAUGGGAGGUAAAUUUCUUCUAAAGCUAAAUACCGGCCAGAGACCGAUAGCGCACAAGUAGAGUGAUCGAAAGAUGAAAAGCACUUUGAAAAGAGGGUUAAAUAGCACGUGAAAUUGUUGAAAGGGAAGCGUUUGUGACCAGACUUGCGCCGUUCCGAUCAUCCGGUGUUCUCACCGGUGCACUCGGGACGGCUCAGGCCAGCAUCGGUUUUGGUGGGGGGAUAAAGGUCCGGGGAACGUAGCUCCUUCGGGAGUGUUAUAGCCCCGGGCGUAAUGCCCUCGCCGGGACCGAGGUUCGCGCAUCUGCAAGGAUGCUGGCGUAAUGGUCAUCAACGACCCGUCUUGAAACACGGACCAAGGAGUCAAGGUUUUGCGCGAGUGUUUGGGUGUAAAACCCGCACGCGUAAUGAAAGUGAACGUAGGUGAGAGCUUCGGCGCAUCAUCGACCGAUCCUGAUGUAUUCGGAUGGAUUUGAGUAAGAGCGUUAAGCCUUGGACCCGAAAGAUGGUGAACUAUGCUUGGAUAGGGUGAAGCCAGAGGAAACUCUGGUGGAGGCUCGCAGCGGUUCUGACGUGCAAAUCGAUCGUCAAAUCUGAGCAUGGGGGCGAAAGACUA